CAGUCGCCGCGGGAAUACAGAGGGUGCGAGCGUUAAUCGGAUUUACUGGGCGUAAAGCGUGCGUAGGCGGCUAAUUGAGUCGGAUGUGAAAUCCCCGAGCUUAACUUGGGAAUUGCAUUCGAUACUGGUUAGCUAGAGUGUGGGAGAGGAUGGUAGAAUUCCAGGUGUAGCGGUGAAAUGCGUAGAGAUCGGGAGGAACAUCAGUGGCGAAGGCGGCCAUCUGGGACAACACUGACGCUGAGGCACGAAAGCGUGGGGAGCAAACAGGAUUAGAUACCCCAGUAGUCCCUGUCUCUUAUAC
Molecule: ribosomal RNA, 301 nt
Filed under: uncultured bacterium
Lineage: Bacteria
Description: partial 16S ribosomal RNA
Rfam family: Bacterial small subunit ribosomal RNA
Source: RNAcentral